AACGAACGCUGGCGGCGCGCCUAAUACAUGCAAGUCGAGCGAGAAGGUGUAGCAAUACACUUGUAAAGCGGCGAACGGGUGAGGAAUGCAUGGGUAACCUACCCUCGAGUGGGGAAUAACUAGCCGAAAGGUUAGCUAAUACCGCAUACGUUUCCGGAACUUCGGUUUCGGAAAGAAAGCAAUACCGUGGGUAUUGCGCUCCUGGAUGGGCUCAUGUCCUAUCAGCUUGUUGGUGAGGUAACGGCUCACCAAGGCUUCGACGGGUAGCUGGUCUGAGAGGACGAUCAGCCACACUGGCACUGCGACACGGGCCAGACUCCUACGGGAGGCAGCAGUAAGGAAUAUUGCGCAAUGGACGAAAGUCUGACGCAGCGACGCCGCGUGGGGGAUGAAGGUCUUCGGAUUGUAAACCCCUUUCGGGAGGGAAGAUGGAGUGGGUAACCACUUGGACGGUACCUCCAGAAGCAGCCACGGCUAACUUCGUGCCAGCAGCCGCGGUAAU
Molecule: ribosomal RNA, 502 nt
Filed under: uncultured bacterium
Lineage: Bacteria
Description: bacterial SSU rRNA
Rfam family: Bacterial small subunit ribosomal RNA
Source: RNAcentral